CAGGGAGACAACAAAAUGUUUAAUAUUAUUAUUUUGUCACCUUAGGUCGAUCGGUAUCUCAUGUUCUUAAUUUAUUAAGAAUUUCAUUUCCUAAGUUUUUCUAGGUCACACCCAUUAUUUUUCCUGGGCCAUUAGCUCAGGUGGUUAGAGCGCACCCCUGAUAAGGGUGAGGUCCCUGGUUCAAGUCCAGGAUGGCCCAUAUCUCUAUGUUGGGGGUAUAGCUCGGUUGGUAGAGCGCCCGCUUUGCAAGCAGGAUGUCAGCGGUUCGAGUCCGCUUACCUCCACUGAUUACCACCUCUUCCAUAAUCUGUAGAAAGGAAAUUUUUUGAGUUGUGAUCAACUUCUGAACGAAUCUAGCUUCCUAAUGAAAGCAUUAAGAUGCUGGACUCAUUGAAUUAAUUUCAUUGUUUUCAGAGAACCUUGACAACUGCAUAGAUUAUUUUUAAAGACAAUAAGCAUCUUUAAUGAUGCAGAUUUAUUAUUUGUGCAAAUGCAUUAAUAACAAUUCUAUUAAGCUGAUGCUUCAAUUUUGAAGUUAUU
RNAcentral lists this transfer RNA (540 nucleotides) under uncultured cyanobacterium. RNAcentral's name for it is "partial contains 16S ribosomal RNA, 16S-23S ribosomal RNA intergenic spacer, and 23S ribosomal RNA". The stretch from base 126 to 199 matches the Rfam family "tRNA". The record is from RNAcentral. Lineage: Bacteria; Bacillati; Cyanobacteriota.